Molecule: microRNA precursor, 105 nt
Filed under: Hordeum vulgare
Lineage: Eukaryota; Viridiplantae; Streptophyta; Magnoliopsida; Poales; Poaceae
Description: microRNA MIR1122
Rfam family: MIR1120/MIR1122 microRNA precursor family
Source: RNAcentral
UAAAUACUCCCUCCGUCCCAAAAUAAGUGUCUCAACUUUGUACUAACUCUAGUACAAAGUUAUACUAAGCUUGAGACACUUAUUUUGGGACGGAGGGAGUACCUU